Molecule: non-coding RNA, 136 nt
Organism: Triticum aestivum (bread wheat)
Lineage: Eukaryota; Viridiplantae; Streptophyta; Magnoliopsida; Poales; Poaceae
Source: Rfam
UUUGUACUCCCUCCAUCCCAAAAUUCUUGUCUUAAAAUUUGUCUUAAUACAGAUGUAUCUAGUUACAUUUUAGUGUUAGAUACAUCUGUAUCUAAAAAAAUGUAAGACAAGAAUUUUGGGAUGGAGGGAAUACUAC